RNAcentral lists this ribosomal RNA (460 nucleotides) under uncultured bacterium. RNAcentral describes it as "partial 16S ribosomal RNA". It matches the Rfam family "Bacterial small subunit ribosomal RNA", at positions 338 to 795 of the family's 1533-position model. The record is from RNAcentral.
CCUACGAGUGGCUGCAGUGAGGAAUAUUGGUCAAUGGCCGUAAGGCUGAACCAGCCAAGUAGCGUGAGGGAAGACUGCCCGAUGGGUUGUAAACCUCUUUUAUGCGGGGAUAAAGGUGUCCACGUGUGGAUGUUUGCAGGUACCGCAUGAAUAAGGACCGGCAAAUUCCGUGCCAGCAGCCGAGGUAAUACGGAAGGUCCGGGGGUUAUACGGAGGGAUUGGGUUUAAAGGGAGCGUCGGCCGGUCUUUAAGCGUGCCGUGAAAUUUUGUGGCUCAACCAUGAGAGUGCGGCGCGAACUGGAGACCUGGAGUGCGCGGAAGGCAGGCGGAAUUCGUGGUGUAGCGGUGAAAUGCUUAGAUAUCACGAAGAACCCCGAUUGCGAAGGCAGCCUGCCGCAGCGUUACUGACGCUGAAGCUCGAAAGCGCGGGUAUCGAACAGGAUUAGAUACCCGAGUAGUC